AGAUAUUUUCAUGCAUUGAUUACCCAAUUUCUGGAAAUAUGUGUCCUGAGAACCUAGAAUUUAGAUAUAUAAAAAUAUCGUGAAGAAAUACACAAAAAAGCAACAUAAAUAAUAACAAUGAAUAAACAGCUUCAAGAGUUAUCUGCAAGCAGAACAACGACAUUCCAAACCGUUCCAGGACUGAAUGAGACUUUUAAAAUGGGGAAAACAACUAUUUUCAUUCCUGAAAUGGUUUCGAAGGUUAUUCCAUCAAGUUGUGGCCGAUUUGUUUUACCGUAACGGUUCGACUUUCUCUGCGGAACAUUAAGAAUAUUUACAUACCUGAAAGAAUACUUCAACACUCAUCAAUGUUUAUAAGCGCAUAUAUGAUAGCUAUAUUGUUCAUAAUAUUUUAAGAUUCUAGAGCCAUUGUUCUUAUCCGUCUGAUCUGCAUGCCUGGAGUACACUGUAGCUUUAUGAAAGGGCUCCUCGUAGGAGCUGCUAAAAUACUCGUAUACAAAAGGGA
RNAcentral lists this long non-coding RNA (505 nucleotides) under Mytilus galloprovincialis (Mediterranean mussel). The record is from RNAcentral. Lineage: Eukaryota; Metazoa; Mollusca; Bivalvia; Mytilida; Mytilidae.